This is a long non-coding RNA of Rosa rugosa (rugosa rose), 1676 nucleotides long. RefSeq lists it as uncharacterized. Lineage: Eukaryota; Viridiplantae; Streptophyta; Magnoliopsida; Rosales; Rosaceae. The transcript is spliced from 11 exons. The record is from RefSeq and is a predicted model, not a curated record.
AAUUUAUUUACUAUAUAUAAAACGUCGGUUAACUGUUCAUAAGCCGUUUACUGUUUAUAUCCGAGCCAAAUUCUCGGGAAGCCUCCAUCCAUAUAAACAGCAAAGCCGAUCUGUACUCUUCGGGAAGCCUCCAUCCAAAUCAAGGUUCCACUGUUAACUGACAACUUCAGAGUCGGUGAUCAAGAACAAGAACAGUGACAACUUGUCAACAUCAAAGUCCAAGCAAUCAAUUGGAAAAAACGAGGAUGGGUCACUUUCAGUUUUUUUUUUUUUUUUUUUUCUUUUCUGCAGAAGCUAGAUAGCAUCACGAUCACAUUCGACGAGCCUCAAGACGAGCUCGAGUCCACUUUAUCCAACGCUAUUUACAAUCUAGAGACGUCGAUGAUUAAGAAGAAGAACGACUGAGAGAGAGAGAGAGAGAGAAAUAGCGUGUGUUUGUUUGGUUUGUACGAAUAGAUAGACCGAUCAAAGGGAAAUUCUCUGCUCAUCAUCUGAAUACGGGGUCAUCAAAACCCAAUUUUCAUCUUAUUUUUUGAGAUUUCGUUCCCACCUUUACUUCUUUUCUGAUUCAUUUUUUUCUUAUAUUGCUUUUGCAGGGAAGUUUGAGUAUCUUAGAGGCAAAGGUUGCGAAUUUGUAGGUAAUUGGGUUUUGAUAAUGUUAUGGGCUCAAGCAGGGUUGAUGAGGAUGCUGAACCUGUUUUAAAAUAUGGACACAGAUUGACCGAAUGGGGAGAAAUGAUACAGCUGUGGAAGAGGAAGUUAGAUAUCAGUUUAGUAUUGUCAUUUGCACUACAGGAAAUCAUUCAUACAAGACAAUGCUCAGAGAGAUUCACCCUUAAUAUUUGAACUCGAGGCUACUUUGAAAUGGCAAGGCUCCUUUGCAGGUGGAAUUAGCAAGAAAUUUUUUUAAAGGAUGAAAGACCUGUAGAUUUGGAAGGUACUUGGAUGAGCCAGUCAGAAUUGUCAGGAAGCUGUUGCAGCCUGGGGUCUAUCUGAAAUUGAUUGAUUUGAGUCUUGAAGGGGGGGACUGGAACCAAUCAACUUAGCGGUUGAAAAUGAAAUCCAUCGUCCAGUUUGUGGUCGAGCUGGAAGUGUUAAUGCCAUAGGAAAUUAUGCUCCGACUUACAUUCCAGGAGUCCUAGCUGACCGUGAAUGAGCUUAAAGGUUUAGACCAAUUGAUGUGAAAUUGGCAAGAUUUUUAGUACUUUUGCAGGGAUUUUCUUCUUGAAUUGUUCCCCACAAUGUCGUAACCACCAACCUAAGCGCUCACUUAUUGACUGACUUCAACUGAAUCAUAUCAUUCACGAGGCAUCAGGCAAGCUAUGGUGCUGCAUUUCCUGACUCCCCACAUUUCUUGGUAAGUAUUAACACUUGCUCUAUCAUUUUUGGUAAGAAGAAGAGAAAAGCUGAUGCAUGUAGGACAUGGAUUCCACUUAUGGGACUAAGAUUGGUACAACUUUAAAAAUGGCAAUGAUGCACUGAACCUCAGGAGUGAUCCAAGAUUUUGGUCAAUUUUUGGAAGAAGUGGCUGCUAAAUUUCAAUUAUCUAAAAUUCUGCUCUUUACUGAGUUUUUUCUUUCUACUUAUUGUGUAUUAGUACAUUAACAUGUGAAUGAAAAUAAUUUGGCUUUAAGUUUCAAUUUGAAUGGAGAUCAAACGAAUGACAUCCCCUGUUA